This 159-nucleotide ribosomal RNA is filed under the name uncultured Allobrachymonas sp. Its description in RNAcentral is "uncultured Brachymonas sp. partial 16S ribosomal RNA". It matches the Rfam family "Bacterial small subunit ribosomal RNA", at positions 1226 to 1382 of the family's 1533-position model. Lineage: Bacteria; Pseudomonadati; Pseudomonadota; Betaproteobacteria; Burkholderiales; Comamonadaceae. The record is from RNAcentral.
UACAAUGGCCGGUACAGAGGGUAGCCAACCCGCAGGGGGGAGCCAAAUCCCCACAAAGCCGGUCGUAGUCCGGAUCGCAGUCUGCAACUCGACUGCGUGAAGUCGGAAUCGCUAGUAAUCGCGGAUCAGCAUGUCGCGGUGAAUACGUUCCCGGGUCUU